AGUGAACGCUGGCGGUAUGCCUAACACAUGCAAGUCGAACGGCAGCACAGUAAGAGCUUGCUCUUACGGGUGGCGAGUGGCGGACGGGUGAGGAAUACACCGGAAUCUACUUUUUCGCGGGGGAUAACGUAGGGAAACUUACGCUAAUACCGCAUACGACCUACGGGUGAAAGCAGGGGAUCUUCUGACCUUGCGCGAUUGAAUGAGCCGAUGUCGGAUUAGCUAGUUGGCGGGGUAAAGGCCCACCAAGGCGACGAUCCGUAGCUGGUCUGAGAGGAUGAUCAGCCACACUGGAACUGAGACACGGUCCAGACUCCUACGGGAGGCAGCAGUGGGGAAUAUUGGACAAUGGGCGCAAGCCUGAUCCAGCAAUACCGCGUGGGUGAAGAAGGCCUUCGGGUUGUAAAGCCCUUUUGUUGGGAAAGAAAAGCAGCAGGUUAAUACCCCGCUGUUAUGACGGUACCCAAAGAAUAAGCACCGGCUAACUUCGUG
This 492-nucleotide ribosomal RNA is filed under the name uncultured bacterium. RNAcentral describes it as "partial 16S ribosomal RNA". It matches the Rfam family "Bacterial small subunit ribosomal RNA", at positions 29 to 507 of the family's 1533-position model. The record is from RNAcentral.